GAUGAAGAACGUAGCGAAAUGCGAUAAGUAAUGCGAAUUGCAGAAUUCCGUGAGUCAUCGAAUCUUUGAACGCACAAUGCGCCCUCUGGUAUUCCGGAGGGCAUGCCUGUCUGAGCGUCAUUGUCAACCCUCAAGCUCAGCUUGCUGUUGGGUCCCCGUCGUUGCUUUAACGGCGGACCCGAAAGGUAAUGGCAGAGUCCGUGAGACCCUAGACGCAGCGAGCUUCUAGCACGCGUCUGGACGUUUUUCGGGCUCGGUCUUAACUAGAUGAUAACUUCCGAUUGACCUCAGAUCAGGUAGGGAUACCCGCUGAACUUAAGCAUAUCAAUAAGCGGAGGA
This 339-nucleotide unclassified non-coding RNA is filed under the name soil metagenome. RNAcentral describes it as "partial contains 5.8S ribosomal RNA, internal transcribed spacer 2, and large subunit ribosomal RNA". The stretch from base 1 to 120 matches the Rfam family "5.8S ribosomal RNA", at positions 35 to 154 of the family's 154-position model. The record is from RNAcentral.